Molecule: ribosomal RNA, 505 nt
Filed under: uncultured bacterium
Lineage: Bacteria
Description: partial 16S ribosomal RNA
Rfam family: Bacterial small subunit ribosomal RNA
Source: RNAcentral
AGUGAACGCUGGCGGUAGGCCUAACACAUGCAAGUCGAACGGCAGCACAGGAGAGCUUGCUCUCUGGGUGGCGAGUGGCGGACGGGUGAGGAAUACAUCGGAAUCUACUUUUUCGUGGGGGAUAACGUAGGGAACUUACGCUAAUACCGCAUACGACCUACGGGUGAAAGCAGGGGAUCUUCGGACCUUGCGCGAUUGAAUGAGCCGAUGUCGGAUUAGCUAGUUGGCGGGGUAAAGGCCCACCAAGGCGACGAUCCGUAGCUGGUCUGAGAGGACGAUCAGCCACACUGGAACUGAGACACGGUCCAGACUCCUACGGGAGGCAGCAGUGGGGAAUAUUGGACAAUGGGCGCAAGUCUGAUCCAGCCAUACCGCGAGGGUGAAGAAGGCCUUCGGGUUGUAAAGCCCUUUUGUUGGGAAAGAAAUCCAGCUGGUUAAUACCCGGUUGGGAUGACGGUACCCAAAGAAUAAGCACCGGCUAACUUCGUGCCAGCCGCCGCGGUAA